GCAGUCGAGCGGAACGAGUUGUCUGAACCUUCGGGGAACGAUAACGGCGUCGAGCGGCGGACGGGUGAGUAAUGCCUGGGAAAUUGCCCUGAUGUGGGGGAUAACCAUUGGAAACGAUGGCUAAUACCGCAUAAUAGCUUCGGCUCAAAGAGGGGGACCUUCGGGCCUCUCGCGUCAGGAUAUGCCCAGGUGGGAUUAGCUAGUUGGUGAGGUAAGGGCUCACCAAGGCGACGAUCCCUAGCUGGUCUGAGAGGAUGAUCAGCCACACUGGAACUGAGACACGGUCCAGACUCCUACGGGAGGCAGCAGUGGGGAAUAUUGCACAAUGGGCGCAAGCCUGAUGCAGCCAUGCCGCGUGUAUGAAGAAGGCCUUCGGGUUGUAAAGUACUUUCAGCAGUGAGGAAGGUGGUGUACUUAAUACGUGCAUCAUUUGACGUUAGCUGCAGAAGAAGCACCGGCUAACUCCGUGCCAGCAGCCGCGGUAAUACGGAGGGUGCGAGCGUUAAUCGGAAUUACUGGGCGUAAAGCGCAUGCAGGUGGUUUGUUAAGUCAGAUGUGAAAGCCCGGGGCUCAACCUCGGAAUUGCAUUUGAAACUGGCAGACUAGAGUACUGUAGAGGGGGGUAGAAUUUCAGGUGUAGCGGUGAAAUGCGUAGAGAUCUGAAGGAAUACCGGUGGCGAAGGCGGCCCCCUGGACAGAUACUGACACUCAGAUGCGAAAGCGUGGGGAGCAAACAGGAUUAGAUAC
Molecule: ribosomal RNA, 747 nt
Filed under: uncultured bacterium
Lineage: Bacteria
Description: bacterial SSU rRNA
Rfam family: Bacterial small subunit ribosomal RNA
Source: RNAcentral